UUGCAUUGAGAGAGAGCAAGCGUAGUCAUUUCUCAUUCUCUCUCUCUCUCUCUCUUGUCCAGAGAGAGAGAGAGAGAGAGAGCCCAAUUUCAAGAUCUGAAAGCUUAAUCUCUCUGCUUCUGCUUGGUGAGGACCUGGCCAUGUUUUUCCACAGCUUUCUUGAACUUCUUCUCCAUAUUCUCCAACAAUUCUCCAAUUCUCGUGUGAAGAUUUACCAGUUUGAAGCUCAAGAAAGCUGUGGGACAUCAUGGCAUUUCAGGGCUUCUUUUACCUCUCCCUUCUCACCCAACUUAGUAAUAUUCUCCCUCAAACACACGUUCAAUUGCGGAGUUUGAUGACAUCCGAUGCAUUAGUGCUGGUUGUCAGGCAGAGAGACAAGGUUUAAUUUAACAAGGAAGUUGAGGAAAAUUCCAUCUUUUUGCUUUAAUUUAGGGUACUGCAACACGUUUGAAGCAUGCAUGGGGAGAGAAUAAUUAAUUAAUGUGUAGAAUUAAAAAGAAAAAGGUGGAUGAGUGAAUUGUUGAGAAUUUAGAUUCAAUAUUGAAUGAGAAUUGGAAGAGGCAAAAAAAAAAAAGAGUUACUUGGUGCAGAGAAGAUUCCCCAAGUUUUCUUUUUUAUCUUCAAUCAUGAUACUGAUGUUCAUGUAGAGUAGAGUGGUGCUGCCCCUCUGCCCCUCUGCCUCUGCCCACUGCCACUUUAUUUUCUUUUUUUUUCCUUUUUUAAUUUUCUCCCCCUCCCCUAAUAUUCUCCUACAUUUCUGUGAAAAAAGUUCUAACUUUGUCACUAUCUGACCCUCUUUCCCUUUCUUUUUAACCGCUCUCUCUCUCUCUCUCUCUCUCUCUCUCUUCAUUUUUUUACCCACCUUAAUUUCUUUUUUUUUUAUCCCUUUGUUUCACAAUUCGCAGAGAUCGGUUACAACUACUGGGUUUUGAUGGUGAGUCCGAAUUUUGUAUUUAAUUUGUUUCAUGUAAAUGUAAUUAGGCGUUAGGUAGAGCUCCUAGUUCUUUCUCUCUCUCCUCCAACAGAAUUGAUCAUGCUUUUUGUGCCAUUUUGACAAGUACGACAAAGUAAUUCGGUUCGAUUCGAUUCGGUUCAAAAUGAAGGAAUUCAAAAUGUUGGCAUGAGAAAUCGGUUCGAUUCAAA
Non-coding RNA from Momordica charantia (bitter melon), 1143 nucleotides. The record is from RefSeq and is a predicted model, not a curated record. Lineage: Eukaryota; Viridiplantae; Streptophyta; Magnoliopsida; Cucurbitales; Cucurbitaceae.